AGAGAAGCGAAGCGGUGACGUGGAGCAAACCUCAGAAAGCCAAUCUCAGUUCGGAUUGUAGGCUGCAACUCGCCUACAUGAAGUUGGAAUCGCUAGUAAUCGCGAAUCAGAAUGUCGCGGUGAAUACGUUCCCGGGUCUUGUACACACCGCCCGUCACACCACGAGAGUUUACAACACCCGAAGUCAGUGGCCUAACCGCAAGGAGGGAGCUGCCUAAGGUGGGGUAGAUGAUUGGGGUGAAGUCGUAACAAGGUAUC
This 258-nucleotide ribosomal RNA is filed under the name uncultured bacterium. Its description in RNAcentral is "partial 16S ribosomal RNA". It matches the Rfam family "Bacterial small subunit ribosomal RNA", at positions 1243 to 1500 of the family's 1533-position model. The record is from RNAcentral.